CACCUCAAGUCAAGUAAGAUUACCCGCUGAACUUAAGCAUAUCAAUAAGCGGAGGAAAAGAAACUAAUAAGGAUUCCCUUAGUAACGGCGAGUGAAGUGGGAAUAGCUCAAAUUUUAAAUCGCCAAGGUUUCACUUUGGUGAGUUGUAAUUUGAAGAAAGUGUUUAGAUAUUCUGGUUUAAUCUAAAUCCUUUGGGAUGAGGUAUCAUAGAGGGUGAGAAUCCCGUUUAUGGUUAAACCGUGGAUGUCACUUAAUUCACUUUCUAAGAGUCGAGUUGUUUGGGAUUGCAGCUCAAAAUGGGUGGUAAAUUUCACCUAAGGCUAAAUAUGUGCAAGAGACCGAUAGCGAACAAGUACCGUGAGGGAAAGAUGAAAAGAACUUUGAAAAGAGAGUUAAAUAGUACGUGAAAUUGUUGAAAGGGAAACGAUUGAAGUCAGUCAUGCUAAUAGGGAAUCAACUUGAUGGUUCGUUCCCCCGGGAGUGAUCUUUCUUGUGCACUUCCUUGUUUGGCAAGUUAGCAUCAAUUUCGGUUGUCAUCAAAAAAUUGAGGGAAUGUAACUUCUUUCGGGAAGUGUUAUAGACCUUGAUGAUAUGUGAUGGUCGGGAUUGAGGAUUGCAGCGGAUGCUUUUGGGCUAGUCACCUACCUUCUGACGGUUACCUCGCUUUCGAUAGCUUGCUAACGAUUGUGGGAUUCAACAGUCUAGAUGUUAGAGUGAUCUUAUAUUCGCUAAGGAUGCUGACGUAAUGGCUUUAAACGACCCGUCUUGAAACACGGACCA
Molecule: ribosomal RNA, 780 nt
Filed under: Acaulospora spinosa
Lineage: Eukaryota; Fungi; Glomeromycota; Glomeromycetes; Diversisporales; Acaulosporaceae
Description: eukaryotic LSU rRNA
Rfam family: Eukaryotic large subunit ribosomal RNA
Source: RNAcentral